AGAGAGAGAGAGAGAGAGAUGAAGGGUGCAUCCAAGGUGAUAAUGGGAGCUACUUUGGUGAUGGUUGUAAGCCUUGCCAUAGUGCUGACUCUUGUUCUGGUGCUGCUAGCUGAGCUCUAUUGUACUCUCUUACUUCGGCGGCGCAGACUAGGCAUCACCUCCUCCAAUGCUACCACCACUGUCGCCAGUACUACCACCAUCACCACUUCACCAACUGCCAAUACUUCCUCUCCACAGCCCCCAAACCGAACAGAUUCUCCUAACACUACAUACUAUGCCCCAGGGGUUCUUCAGGCUCCAAGAAGCCUCUUCUUUCCUGCUGUUUCUUGCAAAGAAAACAAGGCAACUGAAAUAAAGAACCAACUCUCCCAAUUUCAUCACAUUCUCGAAGUCAAUGCCCAAGAAUCUAACACAAGCCCCCAACAAAUUGGUCUUAUAAACACUUCACCUUCAUCAACUAACGUAGUAACUUCACCCCAUCAAAUUCCAGAAAUCCCAAUUCAAAUUAGCAGCAGCAAUGCUAAUGAAAAAGCUUGUGGUGGUAAUGGAGAGCCUUUUGUUUAUAUAUCCAAUCCCAUAUACGACAACGAUGCAAGUAGGGCAAGCAGGGUAGAGACUCCAUUUGAGACUCCUGAUUCAUCACCAUCUCGAUUGGAAACAGGUGGUUCUUCUUCAGGUGAUGAGGAGAUAGCACGGAGAUCCCCAUCUAGUCCACACUCGUUACCAGGUACCCCUCCAUUGACUCCAAUGAAGAAGCUCCCAGCAGAGGCAUGUUCAGUUUCCUUGAGAGAUGCAAGGUCUUUAGGCACUUCAGGGAGUGAUUCUGUGAGUAACAACGGCCUCUCAUCAUCAUCCUCGGUGUCUCCAUGCACAUCUCCUUCGUGGUAAUUGCUUAUGUGUAAUGCAACAAAUAGAGUGCGAAGCAAAUUUGUCGUUUUUAGUGGGGUCUUUUCAUUCAUGAACCCUAUCAAGGCGGGUGGCUUGUGAGUAUAGAGAAAGAUAAGAGUGGAGUUACAAUCCCAGGGCCACGCCCAUGCCAAGUAACCUUAGUUCUCUGUUUCUAAUGUAUUUGCUUUGCAGAGCUGCUCUUUUGUUUUCAUUUACUUGUAUGGUUGUUUUUGGAAGGUAGUUUGCACUUAUUUUCUCUGGCGUUGUUAGGUAGCAAACAAGCUUUUGUUUUUUGUUUUGUAUUGUUUAGGGAUUGUGGGGAUGC
Molecule: unclassified non-coding RNA, 1213 nt
Filed under: Hevea brasiliensis (rubber tree)
Lineage: Eukaryota; Viridiplantae; Streptophyta; Magnoliopsida; Malpighiales; Euphorbiaceae
Source: RNAcentral